This 468-nucleotide ribosomal RNA is filed under the name uncultured bacterium. Its description in RNAcentral is "partial 16S ribosomal RNA". It matches the Rfam family "Bacterial small subunit ribosomal RNA", at positions 28 to 507 of the family's 1533-position model. The record is from RNAcentral.
GAUGAACGCUGGCGGCGUGCUUAACACAUGCAAGUCGAACGGAAAGGCCCUGCUUUUGCUGGGCGCUCGAGUGGCGAACGGGUGAGUAACACGCGAGUAACCUGCCCUUGUCUUUGGGAUAACUUCAGGAAACUGCGGCUAAUACCGGAUAGGAGCUCCUGCUGCAUGGUGGGGGUUGGAAAGUUUCGGCGGUUCGGGAUGGACUCGCGGCUUAUCCGCUUGUUGGUGGGGUAGUGGCUUACCAAGGCUUCGACGGGUAGCCGGCCUGAGAGGGUGACCGGCCACAUUGGGACUGAGGUACGGCCCAGACUCCUACGGGAGGCAGCAGGGGGGAGUAUUGCACAGUGGGCGGAAGCCUGAUGCAGCGGCGCCGCGUGCGGGAUGACGGCCUUCGAGUUGAGAACCGCUUUCGCCUGUGACGAGGCGUGAUUGACGGUAAUGGGUAAAGAAGCACCGGCUAACUACGUG